UUCACCAUUUGCUCAAACAGCUGUUGUUCCUCGUCAAUAUUAACAUUAGGUGGUUUAUAACAUAUACCAACCAAUAGUUGAUUUUCAUUCUUUUCCCCCAAGCAGAUAUUUACCCAUAAAGCUUCCACAUUUUCCUCAUCACAUUCCACUUGCUUAAGAUUUGGCUGUAACUUGUGGUUGACAUACAAACAUACCCCACCACCCUUCUUGUUUUUCCUAUCCUUCCUAAAUAACAUGUACCCAUUUAAGUUAACUGCCCACUCAUGUGUCUCAUCCCACCAUGUUUCAGUUAUGCCUAUUAUGUCAUAUUGUUUAGUGUAUGCUAUUGCAUAUCUAGUUCCCCCAUUUUGUUAUUAGGGAUCCUUGCAUUAGUAAGCAUACAUUUCAUAUCAUGGGUCACUUUUACUUUUUGUGAAUUAUCAACAUUACAUACCUUCUCUGUUCUGAGCUUGCCCCUCCCCCGUCUUCACCCCCCUUAAACUGAGCUGAAGCCCAUCUCCUUUCUAAUACUAGUUUAAAAUCUCCUCCAACCUUCUAGCCACCCUAUCCCCCAGCACUGCAGACCCUCUCCCAUUUAGGUGCAAUCCAUCACUACUAUACAGGUUGUACCCAAGCGCAAAGUAGGCCCAAUGCUCUAAAACCCCCCAAAAACUUCAGCCACACAUUUACCUCUUUAAUCUCCCGCUGCCUUGCUCUGAUCACUUGAAGCUCA
This is a non-coding RNA of Pelobates cultripes (western spadefoot toad), 712 nucleotides long. NCBI's taxonomy places the organism in Eukaryota, Metazoa, Chordata, Amphibia, Anura, Pelobatidae. The record is from the annotation of a GenBank genome assembly.